UGGGGGAAUAUUGCACAAUGGGCGCAAGCCUGAUGCAGCAACGCCGCGUGGAGGAAGACGGUUUUCGGAUUGUAAACUCCUGUUCUUAGUGAAGAAAAAUGACGGUAGCUAAGGAGCAAGCCACGGCUAACUACGUGCCAGCAGCCGCGGUAAUACGUAGGUGGCAAGCGUUGUCCGGAUUUACUGGGUGUAAAGGGCGUGCAGCCGGGAAUGCAAGUCAGAUGUGAAAUCCAUGGGCUUAACCCAUGAACUGCAUUUGAAACUGUAUUUCUUGAGUACUGGAGAGGCAAUCGGAAUUCCUAGUGUAGCGGUGAAAUGCGUAGAUAUUAGGAGGAACACCAGUGGCGAAGGCGGAUUGCUGGACAGCAACUGACGGUGAGGCGCGAAAGUGUGGGGAGCAAACAGGAUUAGAUACCCUGGUAGU
This 424-nucleotide ribosomal RNA is filed under the name uncultured Eubacterium sp. RNAcentral's name for it is "bacterial SSU rRNA". It matches the Rfam family "Bacterial small subunit ribosomal RNA", at positions 354 to 794 of the family's 1533-position model. Lineage: Bacteria; Bacillati; Bacillota; Clostridia; Eubacteriales; Eubacteriaceae. The record is from RNAcentral.